GGUAGAAUGGCUGAGUUAUAAGCGAUAAAUUGUAAAUUUAUUUACGAAUUGCAUUCUUCUACCA
This 64-nucleotide transfer RNA is filed under the name Stenomorpha consobrina. Its description in RNAcentral is "tRNA-Tyr". The record is from RNAcentral. Lineage: Eukaryota; Metazoa; Arthropoda; Insecta; Coleoptera; Tenebrionidae.